This 792-nucleotide ribosomal RNA is filed under the name uncultured bacterium. RNAcentral's name for it is "bacterial SSU rRNA". It matches the Rfam family "Bacterial small subunit ribosomal RNA", at positions 8 to 796 of the family's 1533-position model. The record is from RNAcentral.
AGAGUUUGAUCAUGGCUCAGGAUGAACGCUAGCGGCAGGCCUAAUACAUGCAAGUCGAGGGGCAGCGGGAGUAGCAAUACUUGCCGGCGACCGGCGCACGGGUGCGUAACACGUAUACAAUCUGCCUAUAACAGGGGGAUAGCCCGGAGAAAUCCGGAUUAACCCCCCAUAAUAAUAGAAGAAGCAUUUCUUUUAUUUGAAAACUACGGUGGUUAUAGAUGAGUAUGCGUAUGAUUAGCUAGUUGGUAGUGUAACGGACUACCAAGGCAACGAUCAUUAGGGGUACUGAGAGGUUAAACCCCCACACGGAUACUGAGACACGGAUCCGACUCCUACGGGAGGCAGCAGUAAGGAAUAUUGGACAAUGGCCGCAAGGCUGAUCCAGCCAUGCCGCGUGCAGGAAGAAGGCGCUAUGCGUUGUAAACUGCUUUUGAACCAGAGAAAACCCCUCUACGUGUAGAGGGCUGAUAGUAUGGUUAGAAUAAGCAUCGGCUAACUUCGUGCCAGCAGCCGCGGUAAGACGAAGGAUGCAAGCGUUAUCCGGAUUCAUUGGGUUUAAAGGGAGCGUAGGCGGGCUUGUAAGUCAGUGGUGAAAUCUCUGGGCUUAACCCAGAAACUGCCAUUGAUACUGCAGGUCUAGAGUACAUUUGCUGUGGGCGGAAUAUGACAUGUAGUGGUGAAAUACUUAGAUAUGUCAUAGAACACCGAUUGCGAAGGCAGCUCACAAAAAUGUAACUGACGCUGAGGCUCGAAAGUGCGGGGAUCAAACAGGAUUAGAUACCCUAGUAGUCC